CGGAAGCCGGGUUACGGUGCCC
This 22-nucleotide small nuclear RNA is filed under the name Arabidopsis thaliana (thale cress). RNAcentral describes it as "snRNA_12771". The record is from RNAcentral. Lineage: Eukaryota; Viridiplantae; Streptophyta; Magnoliopsida; Brassicales; Brassicaceae.